CAUCCGAGGCCCCGUAAUCGGAAUGAGUACACUUUAAAUCCUUUAACAAUGAACCAUUGGAGGGUAAGUCUGGUGCCAGCAGCCGCGGUAAUUCCAGCUCCAAUAGCGUAUAU
This 113-nucleotide ribosomal RNA is filed under the name Microtyphlus sp. 1 CA-2016. RNAcentral describes it as "partial 18S small subunit ribosomal RNA". It matches the Rfam family "Eukaryotic small subunit ribosomal RNA", at positions 492 to 604 of the family's 1831-position model. Lineage: Eukaryota; Metazoa; Arthropoda; Insecta; Coleoptera; Carabidae. The record is from RNAcentral.